AGUGAAGGUAGAGGUGCGAGCUUCAAGAGUAAAGGUUCAGAGAAGGAUGAGCUUCAACGAGGAGCCUUAAAAGGGGAUGUUCGCCGAAGUAAAGAAAGCCUCAUUUCUUUCUUUGCUGGUCCUGUAUUGAAUAAAUGCUGGAUUGUCAGGACAAAUGUCUUGGAGAGCUAUCUAACAU
This 178-nucleotide non-coding RNA is filed under the name Bacillus sp. (in: firmicutes). Its description in RNAcentral is "Bacillus sp. Lysine sequence". It matches the Rfam family "Lysine riboswitch aptamer". From Rfam's summary of the family: Riboswitches are metabolite binding domains within certain messenger RNAs that serve as precision sensors for their corresponding targets. Lineage: Bacteria; Bacillati; Bacillota; Bacilli; Caryophanales; Bacillaceae. RNAcentral also lists the same sequence under 1 other name. The record is from RNAcentral.